UACGUAGGGGCCUAGCGUUGUCCGGAAUUAUUGGGCGUAAAGAGCUCGUAGGCGGUUCGGCAAGUCGGAUGUGAAAUCUCCACGCUUAACGUGGAGGGGCCAUUCGAAACUGCUGUGACUCGAGUCCGGUAGGGGAGUGUGGAAUUCCCGGUGUAGCGGUGAAAUGCGCAGAUAUCGGGAGGAACACCAGUAGCGAAGGCGGACACUCUGGGCC
Molecule: ribosomal RNA, 214 nt
Filed under: uncultured bacterium
Lineage: Bacteria
Description: partial 16S ribosomal RNA
Rfam family: Bacterial small subunit ribosomal RNA
Source: RNAcentral